RNAcentral lists this ribosomal RNA (402 nucleotides) under uncultured Perkinsidae. Its description in RNAcentral is "SSU rRNA". It matches the Rfam family "Eukaryotic small subunit ribosomal RNA", at positions 592 to 998 of the family's 1831-position model. Lineage: Eukaryota; Perkinsozoa; Perkinsida; Perkinsidae. The record is from RNAcentral.
CAAUAGCGUAUAUUAAAGUUGUUGCGGUUAAAAAGCUCGUAGUUGGAUUUCUGCCGAGGACGACCGAUCGACCCAUACGGGUUUGAAUCAGGUUUGACCGAGGCAUCCUCUAGGAAGACGUGCAGCACUUUACUGGGUUGUACGGAGUCCUAGACUUUUACUUUGAGGAAAUUAGAGUGUUUCAAGCAGGCAAUCGCCGUGAAUACAUUAGCAUGGAAUAAUAAUAUAGGACUUCGGUUCUAUUUUGUUGGUUUCUGGAACUGAAGUAAUGAUUAAUAGGGACAGUCGGGGGCAUACGUACUUAACAGUCAGAGGUGAAAUUCUUGGAUUUGUUAAAGACGAACUACUGCGAAAGCAUUUGCCAAGGAUGUUUUCAUUGAUCAGGAACGAAAGUUAGGGGAU